This 256-nucleotide ribosomal RNA is filed under the name uncultured Anaerolineaceae bacterium. RNAcentral describes it as "partial 16S ribosomal RNA". It matches the Rfam family "Bacterial small subunit ribosomal RNA", at positions 1125 to 1382 of the family's 1533-position model. The record is from RNAcentral. Lineage: Bacteria; Bacillati; Chloroflexota; Anaerolineae; Anaerolineales; Anaerolineaceae.
GUUAUAUGUGUCAUACGAGACGUGGCCGGUAAAAAGCCGGAGGAAGGUGAGGAUGAUGUCAAGUCAGCAUGACCUUUAUAUCCAGGGCUACACACACGCUACAAUGGUCUGUACAAUGGGUAGCCAAGCCGCGAGGCGGAGCCAAUCCUGAAAGCAGGCCUCAGUUCAGAUUGCAGUCUGCAACUCGACUGCAUGAAGCCGGAGUUGCUAGUAACCGCAGGUCAGCAAUACUGCGGUGAAUACGUUCCCGGGUCUU